GGGCUUGCCUCAGCAACAUAUAUACUAAAAUUGGAAUGAUUACAGAGAAGAUUAGCAUGGCCCUUAUGCAAGGAUGAUGCCUGAAUUUGUGAAGUAUUCCAUAUAUAU
Molecule: small nuclear RNA, 108 nt
Organism: Jaculus jaculus (lesser Egyptian jerboa)
Lineage: Eukaryota; Metazoa; Chordata; Mammalia; Rodentia; Dipodidae
Source: Ensembl